RNAcentral lists this long non-coding RNA (761 nucleotides) under Physcomitrium patens. Its description in RNAcentral is "long non-coding RNA (PPAT_LNC008067)". Lineage: Eukaryota; Viridiplantae; Streptophyta; Bryopsida; Funariales; Funariaceae. The record is from RNAcentral.
UUUUACUAAUAUCUUAUACAAACAAAUUAAUAUCUAUUCUAUAUAGCCCAACUCCUAUCUGUGUAGCAUCCUCGUAAACACACAAUUGAUUCCUAUCUAAAAACUGCUUGACAAAACUCUAUAAAAUUACUAAUUCCUCUGGCCCACUCAAUUAAUCAUUUGCUGCAUUAUCGAAUGUAGGUUCCACCGAUUCUGGUUCUAAAUUCAAAUUUUCCUCGUCCUCUAAUCCAUCUAUCAGCUCCUUUCUCAACUGGUUUGAUAGAUCUUCAUCAUACUCAUCCAAUUCACAGACUUGAGCCUCUAGUUUCAAGAUCUAGGCAUUCUGGAGUUCCAACUGAUGCUGCUACUAACUCAUCUAUUCUGGAACAUCUUCAAUUGACACUUGAGAUUGGCUUCUCACUGUUAACUCUUUCGUCAAUUUUGUCACCUCAACUUGUAAAACUUCUAUUUUGGACCUCAACUUCUUCGUUUCACAUCUAGAUUGGUUACUUAAUGCUUCUUUCUAUUUUAUCAAUAACUCAGCCUUAUAUCUUUUUGCCUGCAACUAGUAUUUGAGUUUCUCCCAUUCCAAACCCCAUGCCUUGCGAUUCUGGAUCAAUUUGUCCACUUGUCCUUCUACAAUCCGUAAGAUGUGUUCUUUUUCUUUCAUCCAAGACUCAUAUUGGUGAAUCCAUUUCUGCUCCAAUACCAACUUGGAUUCUCCAAUUUUAUUUAUCAUCUAUUUUUGCUCUUCAAUUCUUCGAUUUUGCUCUAAUAUCAUU